CACACGACUCUCGGCAACGGAUAUCUCGGCUCUCGCAUCGAUGAAGAACGUAGCAAAAUGCGAUACCUGGUGUGAAUUGCAGAAUCCCGCGAACCAUCGAGUUUUUGAACGCAAGUUGCGCCCGAGGCCUUCCGGCCGAGGGCACGUCUGCCUGGGCGUCACGCCAA
Molecule: ribosomal RNA, 167 nt
Filed under: Sorghum halepense
Lineage: Eukaryota; Viridiplantae; Streptophyta; Magnoliopsida; Poales; Poaceae
Description: 5.8S ribosomal RNA
Rfam family: 5.8S ribosomal RNA
About the family: 5.8S ribosomal RNA (5.8S rRNA) is a component of the large subunit of the eukaryotic ribosome. It is transcribed by RNA polymerase I as part of the 45S precursor that also contains 18S and 28S rRNA. Functionally, it is thought that 5.8S rRNA may be involved in ribosome translocation.
Source: RNAcentral